Long non-coding RNA from Mauremys mutica (yellowpond turtle), 755 nucleotides. RefSeq lists it as uncharacterized. Lineage: Eukaryota; Metazoa; Chordata; Testudines; Geoemydidae. The record is from RefSeq and is a predicted model, not a curated record. The transcript is spliced from 5 exons.
CUAGCUCUUCAGCCUGCCGACCCACCAUUCUUCCUAACAGAUGUUUUAUUUCUCCCCACAAAGGAAAGUUUAGAGGGUUUCUUCUGCCUGGCUCUACACUGCUAACCUUGAAGGUGGAAGGCCAGGGCCCUGCAGACACUGAGGGAGUCAAGGUGCCAUUCCUCCACUAAGGUGUGAGGCUUCAGAAAGAAAGCAGGUUGCAUCAGGUUAGCAGGAGACGUCAUUAGAGGCUGAGCCACAGGAUCCUACAAACAAAAGAAUGGCAAAGACGUUAAUCGCAUGAGUUAACCAUGAUUAAUCGACAGCCCUAUUUCAUUGUGAAUGCAAAAAUUCCAGAAAGACAGUCUGUCGGGAGGCUGUCAAGCUGAUCUGCCCCUCUUCUCUCCCCUUCCCCUCAGAUCUUGAGCUUGCAAGGGACACAGAUGUGCACCUCAGCCCAAGGAAGAUGUGUCCAUGACCGGAGUCAUAGUAGGAAGGGAAGAGGAGGAGACAAAGAGACGUCAAACUGGACUCUCCACUAGUUCGAGAAAGAUGGCACACUUGCAGGUCUGUGAAUUAAUGCAUCCAGAGGGUGAGUUAAUGGACAGCAGAUGAAUUUUAACCAGCCUUAAAGACAUCUCAGGUAUAGCUUGGCAUGCUGAGUCACCUACAUGCAAGCGGCCACAUGUCCUAAAAGUUGCAUCCAGUUUCUCAUCAUUGUUUGUGGAUAAGGUUAGAGGAAACUGCAUAAUUCCAGGAUCACUUGAAAGCUGACC